GGUUAAAAAGCUCGUAGUUGGAUUUCGGCGAUCAGGGGCCGGUGAUAUAUUUGUAUCUACUGGCCCAUUUGGUCGUAUUUUUGAAAGAGGGUUUGGGGUCCCCUUCACUGGGUGUCCUAGGUCGCUUUCAGGUUUACUUUGAAAAAAUUAGUGUGCUCAAAGCAGGCUUUAACGCUUGAAUAUUCGUGCAUGGAAUAAUAGAAUAGGAAGUUCGUUUCUAUUUUGUUGGUUUUAGGAUAACGACUUAAUGAUUAAUAGGGACAAUCGGGGGAAUUAGUAUUCCAACGACAGAGGUGAAAUUCU
This 303-nucleotide ribosomal RNA is filed under the name uncultured marine eukaryote. RNAcentral describes it as "bacterial SSU rRNA". It matches the Rfam family "Eukaryotic small subunit ribosomal RNA", at positions 617 to 920 of the family's 1831-position model. The record is from RNAcentral.